CCUAUGGGUGGCAGCAGUGAGGAAUAUUGGUCAAUGGGCGGGCGCCUGAACCAGCCAAGUCGCGUGAGGGAAGACGGUCCUAUGGAUUGUAAACCUCUUUAGGCGGGGAGCAAUGCCGGGCACGCGUGCCCGGAGGGAGAGUACCCGCAGAAUAAGCAUCGGCUAACUCCGUGCCAGCAGCCGCGGUAAUACGGGGGAUGCGAGCGUUAUCCGGAUGUAUUGGGUUUAAAGGGGGCGUAGGCGGAUUUUCAAGUCAGCGGUAAAAUGUCCGGGCUCAACCCCGGCCGGCCGUGGAAACUGGGGGUGUGGAGUGGGCGAGAAGUAUGCGGAAUGCGUGGUGUAGCGGUGAAAUGCAUAGAUAUCACGCAGAACUCCGAUUGCGAAGGCAGCAUACCGGCGCCCGACGGACGCUGAGGCACGAAAGCGUGGGGAUCGAACAGGAUUAGAUACCCGUGUAGUC
Molecule: ribosomal RNA, 460 nt
Filed under: uncultured bacterium
Lineage: Bacteria
Description: partial 16S ribosomal RNA
Rfam family: Bacterial small subunit ribosomal RNA
Source: RNAcentral